CUAUCUAGAUCUACUCUAGUUUAGAGAAGAGAGGAGAGCUCUCAUCUCUAAACCCUAGCUUUUGCUCUGUCUAUGAAUAAUGAAUAAUGAUCAAGGGGUGCCUCCUCUAGGGGCCAGGGGGUCUGGUUUUAUAGUCCCCUCAAGUGAAUCUGGGCCGUCGGAUCAAACCGACAUUGAUUGAACGGUUAUUCUUGAUCCUUUAGGUCGGUGGAGCAUAAUCCGCGAGAUUGAGCGUGAUUGGCCGAAAAAGGUGGGCGGGCGCCCUAAGGACUUGAGCGGGCGCCCUGUCCCUGACUCCGUUCGGUCUCCGCUUCCUUCCCGUGGCUUCUGGAGUCUUCUAGAUGUAAGAUAAUUGCGCGGCACGUUGAUAUCUCUAUGUAAUCCUGACGUGUGGGCCUUUCUUCCUUAUUUCCUGAUAACCCCCUGCAGAAAUAGACAAACACCAAAACUCGUGGAAUUCUGUCAGAUAAAACCCUAAGUCUCGAUGUUGAUUUGAUUUGGAUCCUUUUCUUUGUUUAUUUGAUAGUUAAAUUUCAUACUUAAGGACCGUCAACAAACUCCCCCAAGCUUACCUCUUGCUCGUCCCUGAGCAAGGAUAGACUCAGCUAUGGAUCAUAAGUUGUUGCAAUAUCUUUAAAAAUUGACGGUACACAUGCUUUUAAAUGAGGUCUCAUCUCUGAGUUCGAGUAAACUGUCAAGACUUAAAACUUACUUACUUUACCAUUCACCAUGGGACUUGUAACCGUCACUACUGUCUUGAGUGGUUAAAAGAUAGAACAGUCCAGUCAAGUGCCAUGUCGCUUAUUCUUGAUCAGCUAUAGCUCUGGAGUUUUUUUGCAGAUUUUCAAAUAAAACUCAGAGAUUCCUUUGUAUGACUCUCUCAUAUCUCUCUUUUGUAGUAUUUCUGGAUCCUUACCAAGGCAGUGAUGGUAUAUGUCUUCUCUCAAAAUAUGUGGUAUUUGUGGUAUAAGGGAUAGUGACAUUGUCUUCUCUCUCACCCUACUCUAAUAAGGCUUUAAUAUCUGGAGCUCAUAGGUGGGAGAUAAAAUAUACAUACUUACAAGACAUUUAUUGUAUAGUCAAACCAUGGAUCCAAAAAAACAAAUCAAUAAGCCAAAUCAAGAUGUGCAUGUGUGGCGAAUGAAUAGUGUAUGGUGAUGAUGGUGGUAACAAUGGUGAAAGUCUAAUUCUACUUUUGCUCUUUUGAGGGGAUACAUACCUUCCUUGCUUUUUGAAACUUUAUGAGGAGAAUGAGAUGCUCUUCUUUUUCUUUUCUCUCAGAUGGGUAUCCAGUACCCCUAAUUCUACUGUCGGACACUUGUCCAUUUUUACCUCUUGUCUCACUCUUUUUCUUUUCGGCACUUGCCUCUUUUUAUUUCCUCGUUUUUUUUUUCUUUUCUUUUUUUGUUCUUCUUUUUUUUCAGAGCACUUAUCUCUUGAGAUAAUAUAGCAAGUGGUAGUAGCAAGAUAACUUGAGCAUUUAUAUCACAAGGGAAAAACACAGAUGUUUUUGGCUAUUCUCUCCCGAAUUAGGAGUAUAAUAUUUUUAGGUGAUUUUGGAGAUGGAAAUGGAUGGAUAUAUGUGGAUGGUACUUCCGGAGUAGAAGUAGCAUAUAUAUGAGUGAACGUGCAAGUGAAUCUUGAUUUAACCACAUGACAAGCUCCUAAGGGUCUACUUAGCUUGACCACACUCAAUGCUCAUAAGCAGUAAAUAAUUAAUGUGUGGCUCAAAGUCUAGCAAGCAUGUAUAUAUGGCUGUGGUAGGAAUUUAAACUUUCAUCAUACAGGAACUCAUCAUGCAACAUUUUAAAGAUUUUUCAAAGAUAAAAUUCUCCAGAAUUCUAGCAUCUCUAGGAAUAGAUAAACAGCAGCUCAACCUUCCCAUAUCAUAUCCGUUAACAACUUAGAUUUCAGAUCAAGUUUUCAUCCCACAAGUUUAGAUCUAGAGCAAGCCGUAAAUUAUAACAGUUAUGUCUAAACUUGAGAGAGAACUUCAAAUUUGCAAAUUAGGCAGAGCAACUAUUCAUCAUAUCCAUGCUAGAGUUUUAUUAUUAAGAUUCAGAUUAGCAUAGCCACUUUAUUUAUUUAUUAAACACACUAAGCAAAAGAUAUAUAUAAGCACAAAAUCUUUAUUUGUUUUUCAUAGUUUAUGUAUUUUAAUAUUCUAAUAUAAUAUAAGUAUAAAGAUAGGUAGAAAUACUUAGCGAGAUAAAUGGGGUUGCUCUCCCCCAAGCUGAAUUUUGACGUAAUUUCUCUUGAUGUAGCUAGCAGGUGGCAGAGCUGUAUUUGAAAGUCAGCAGCAUUCUGACAGCGAUUAGAAUGUCCUCCGUCUGCUAGUCUUCUUGAUUCUUAAAUUUUGUGGAGCUCAAAUAGACAACAAAGCUUGUGGAACUAAUUAAGUGUUAGCAUAAAUAUCUAGCCUUCAUCACGUUGAGCUUCCUCAAUAAAUAUUACUCCCUGUUUUUAUAUUUUUAUUUUAUAAAGUAGAAAAGAAAUAUUUAUUUUAUUUUUAUGCCACCACAGUGAAGAUACUUAUGGGUUUUAUGCCACUCGUAUACUCACAUGGGGCUUAGUAUUUUUUAACAUUUUUAUUUUCUUUUCAAGAUAAUCUAUUUAAGGAAAGUAAAUAAUUAAAGGGAAAAGGGAAUGCAGAAAGGAUAAAUAUGGAUAACUACCAAUCUUACCUUUCGGCGAGGGUUCAAUGUUUUAAGUCUUCUUGACAAGACUUCUCACCGUGUUCAUUCUUCAGGUGCAUCAUUUGAUUCAGGUGCGGACCUUGACGUCUGCACCUCUUGAUACGGUGUCACCCAUGUUUUUCGUUUGCCCAGCAGUUCAAAGUGCGGCGUUGGCAGUAACCUGCUCAGUGUGUUUGUGCUCGUAGAUCCAGGUCCUUCACUUGGUAGAGUCUGAGAGUUAUAAAACUCCUCCGUGUUUUGCUCAAAGUGUACCUGCUCAUAGAGACAAGGCAAAGAUCAAGUGCAUGGGUCUGUUGGUGGAAAACACCAACAGAACCAAAAGUGUAUUUGUUCUUCUCUAACCUUAAGCAUAGUGAGCAAGACAAGUUGAUGGAUGAUAAGUUCAUGAGUGUAGCACUUAUAACAUUUGUCAGAUCAGAUCGCUCAACCUUAUGGAAAGAUAAUCUAUCUAUGUAUAUGUCUUUUUCUUUAUAUCUCUCAAUGAUUGAAUGUGUAACAUUUUAGCUCAUAUGAUUAGGAGUGUGGGAUCAUGGAGGUAGUACUAAGAACAAGGAUUAAAGGACUAAACAUGUUGAAUCAGUUGGGUUGGUUAAUCUAGAGUUGUAAAUCAUACACGUUUGUCUCUUUUAUUUAUAUGAACGCCAGAACCAAGGAGAAGCUUAUAAAAGUGAUAGUCAUGUACCUUAAGAUGUUACCUUGCUCGAAGAGUGAUGGUACAGUAUCAUCUUGUGGAAGCUUUCCUUUCUUAGCGGUUGUGCGUCGUGUUUGUGGCACCCUCUAUGGAUCAUCUCUCUAUGAUGAAUGAGCUAUGUCCUUCUUGUGCAAAUUGUUAAACUUCAUGUGUCACUCUCUUCGUCUCUGAUGUGAGUUUAUCUCAGGACUUCCCAAAUCGAUAUUGAAAGUUUUUCUGCAGGGGAUAGUCCGACAAAAUAUACCAAUAUCUACUCAAGCAGUUUUUUUAGUUCAAUAACCAAACUAGACUCCAUGUCUAAUCAGAUUAAGGAAGGCUAUUUAACCUAAGCACCAUGCUUAAUUUAAAUGCCAAUGGAAGUAUGGCGAGUACUUCCAAACCAUCACUUGCUAGUAAAUAGACAAAGGUAGCAUGAGCAUGUCUUAAAGGUAGAGACAACCAAUAUAGCAACAUGGCAAAUGAUGUUUUUAUGUAAAGUACUCCCCCAAGCUUGAAUUUUGCAAAAUUCAAGUUUAGAUGAAUUUAAUUCAAUGUUGUAUGAUGAUUGGUUGGACAUACCUUGUGCUUGUCGUUCAUCCGAUCUUCUUGCUCCAAUCUUAGAAAGGUUAGUGACAAGAAUACCUGAAGGAAUAUAUUUUUUUUUACAUAAUUAUCCUUAUAUGCUCAAUACACAAGGUAAUGUUGCAAAUAAUUGAAGGCUCAUGUUACGAUCUGAUCAAUGCUUAUUUUAAGACACUAAGCUUGUCCUUGGGAAACCAUCAGUUUAUGUUGGCGAAGUGGUUUCCCCUCCGACGCCAACCUAUAUCUAGAUCAACUCAACGAGAUCUGCAAUAUUUAUUAUAGACAUAUGCAUCGACAACCGCCCUUUUAAAGUUUUUAUAAAUAGAAAGGAAGAGGGGGUUGGAGAUCUCAAAUGUGGUGAUGUCGGAGAGACCAAUAGAUUGGGAAGAUGUUGCAUAUGAGCAUGGAGUAAACGAAGUGGCUAUGAAAUAAAUUCCAUGCUCAUUAAUGUUAUCUUCGUCUCCAAUCUGAAUGUUCGGAGUUUCUCCUGGAUUGGUCUCACCUAUGUCCUCUUCUGUAGUUGGAUGAAUCUCAUCUUCAAAGGGAGUCAAGAACUCACCAUUUGAAAUUGAGGCAAAGUCAGAAUCCAUUAGGGCUUCUUCCUUAUCCAUCCAUUCUACACAUUCUAGCCAUUUAGAACUUGUGAUCAAAAUAGGGGAGGUGUUAGAAUUUUCUAUAUGGCUUAGCUCUCCUUCUAUGGCAUUACUUGACAUGCCAUCCUUAUGGUCUUCAUGACUCCUAUGGUUUGGUCGUCUUGGUGAAUUGCUAGGAUCAUCAUGAGACUGAAAAGAAGAGGGAUAAGAGGGAUCUCUAAGGUCAAGGAUGGAUUUAGAAAUUGUGAACAUGGAAGGGGAGUAGAUAGAAUUGUCUAUAUGGCUUAGCUCUCCUUCACUUGAUAUGUCAUCCUCGACUUCUUCAUGAUAGGGACCAGGACAUUCUCUUAGAGAAACAUUAUUGCAAUGAUUUGAAAUAUCCUUGCUUGAAGGUCUCUUAUAGAACCAGAAGUCUAAACCAUCAGCAUUUAAAAGAUUUAAGGUCGGAAUUCCUUCCUCCCUUGGAGAAUUUUGGGGUAUUGAUGGUUUAGGAUCGAUAGCUAAAGUUUGGGAUUGAAGUGGUUGUGAUCUGGCUAUCGAAACUUCUUCUUCUUGUCUAGGAACUGGUUCUUUCUCUUUCUCAGGGAUAUAAAAGCUAGGAGACUUUCCGCUCAUUAAAUCAAUCAAAUUCCAAGCUUCACUAGCGGAUAGGUGGUGGAAAGAUCCUCCAGAGGCCGCAUGAAGGGUUUGCUUAUUUUUCCUACUAAGGCCCUCAAAAAAGUGAAUUAGAAGAACUUCUUCUGGGAUAGAAAGUUUUGGGCCAGUGAGAGUAAGGUUAAUAAAGCGGUCCCAUGAUUUGCCAAGAGAUUCUUCUUCCACUUGUCUAAAAGAAAGAAUCUCACGCCGAAGUUCCACUACUUUGGAGAUUGGAAAAUAUUUAGAAAGAAAACUACUAUAUAACUCCUUCCAAUCUCCAUGAACACUCCCUACUUUGAGUUUACACCAAUGUCUAGCUUUUCCCGUUAAAGAGAACGGAAAGAGCUUCCAUUUAAGGGUCUCAUCGGACAUGCCUUCUAUGCGAAGGAGGUCACAGACUCGAUAAAACUCUCUUAGGUGUGUGUAUGGGUUUUCCUCACCUUUUCCUGAGAAAGGUUGUUUUUGAAUAAAUUCUAUGUAUUCGGGGUCUAUCUCAAAACUAGAUGUUAUGAUAGGCUUUGAAGAUUUUGGUGGUUCUAGAUGUGUGCCCAUAGGUCUAUGAAAUUCAUAGAUAGACAUGUUUGAAUUCAUAAUAGACCAGAGAUCAAGGAUUAGAUAAGAAGAAAGAAUAGCAGAGAUGAGGCAAAGGAUAAAAGGAAAAUAUUUUUUUUAUUUAUUUAUUUUUUAUAAAAUGAUUAAACUAGUUCGUAGUCAACUCAGCAACCGUUUCCCCGGCAACGGCGCCAAAAAUGCUUGUUGACACUUGCUAACACCACUUGAAUACUAGGUUAUCAUCCCCAGCGUGGCACUAGAGUGUACUAUGGUAUUUAUACGCACACAGAUAAUCCGCAAGCGCACGGAUACCGUUGAAGCUUUUACCCGGUUAAAGGUUUUAUCGUAUCCACAGGGAAACGGGAGAACUGAUCUACGCUCUAACUUAACUAAGAUAAGUAAAUAGGUGUGAAUAGGAAAGAUGGUAGAAUCGAAUAAGAACAAUAUUAAAGGUAAGAUAACAGUGAGUGAUAAUAUGGGAAUAGAGAGUAGAGCAAUUAUAGUAUAUGGGUGAUGGUAGCAGAAUAGAGAGGAUAACUAUGGUUUCUCUACUUCAAAGGGGUAUGUCUAUGUCUGGGACGAACCACGUGAUAAGAGUACACCACAAAGGAUGCAUAUCCAUAGGCCGAUAAACCCUACCCGUCCUGCUAACGAGAGGUGGACUACAGGGGACCAACGUAACUGUCACCUACGUGGCCUACCACACGAUCUAGCUAGUCAGGGGAUAUCCACAAGUAAUCUAGGUCUAAGCACCACGCUUACACCUAUACUACAACUCUAACCUAUAGGGUCCUAUAGAUUAGAAGUACUCAAAAGAGUUGUGAACCAGAAUAUACAUGAUUAGUAAUUGCAUAAUGAAUUAGAAGUAGAUUACCAGAGUCAUCCCAUGAGCAAGCUUGAUUAGAGCUUGAUCAUGGUGAAGUACAACCGGAGGAAGAACCGACAGGCCGGCCUCUCCUCUAAUCCUCCUUCGGUCUCCAUCUCGCUACUAUCUAGAUCUACUCUAGUUUAGAGAAGAGAGGAGAGCUCUCAUCUCUAAACCCUAGCUUUUGCUCUGUCUAUGAAUAAUGAAUAAUGAUCAAGGGGUGCCUCCUCCAGGGGCCAGGGGGUCUGGUUUUAUAGUCCCCUCAAGUGAACCUGGGUCGUCGGAUCAAACCGACAUUGAUUGAACGGUUAUUCUUGAUCCUUUAGGUCGGUGGAGCAUAAUCCGCGAGAUUGAGCGUGAUUGGCCGAAAAAGGUGGGCGGGCGCACUAAGGACUUGGGCGGGCGCCCUGUCCCUGACUCCGUUCGGUCUCCGCUUCCUUCCCGUGGCUUCUGGAGUCUUCUAGAUGUAAGAUAAUUGCGCGGCACGUUGAUAUCUCUAUGUAAUCCCGACGUGUGGGCCUUUCUUCCUUAUUUCCUGAUAACCCCCUGCAGAAAUAGACAAACACCAAAACUCGUGGAAUUCUGUCAGAUAAAACCCUAAGUCUCGAUGUUGAUUUCAUUUGGAUCCUUUUCUUUGUUUAUUUGAUAGUUAAAUUUGAUACUUAAGGACCGUCAACAGGGGAUACAUACAUUUCUUGCACUUUGAAGCUUUUUGAGGAGAAUGAGAUGCUCUAUAUUUUCUUUUUCUUUCCUCUCAGGUGGGUACCUUGUACCCCUAAUUCUACUGUCAGACACUUGUCCAUUUUUACCUCUCGUCUUACUUUUUCUUUUCUUCGAGGUUUCGGGCACUUGCCCCUUUUUAUUUCCUCAUAUAUUUUUUUUUCUUCUUUUUUUUAGAGCACUCAUCUCCUAAAAUAAUAUAGCAAGUGGUAGUAACCAAAAGAACUGGAGCAUUUAUUUCAUUGGGAAUAACAAGGAUAGAAAAAUGUUUUUGGCUAUUCUCUCCCGGAUUAGGAGUAGAAUAAUUUUGGGUGAAUCUGGAGAUGGAAAUGAGUGGAUGUAUGUGGAUGCGUACUUCUGGAAUAGAAGCAACAUAUACGAGUGACCAUGCAAGUGAAUCUUGAUUUUAACCACAUGACAAGCUCCUAAGGGUCUACACAGCUUGACCACACUCAAUGCUCAUAAGCAGUAAAAAGUAAAUAUAUGGUUCAUAGUCUAAUAAUCAUGUAUAUGUGGCUGUGGUAGGAUUUUAAACUCUCAUCAUACAAGAAAUCAUCGUUUGUUAUUUUAAAGAUUUUCAAAGAUAAAAUUCUCCAGAAUUCUAGCAUCUCCAGAAAUAGAUAAACAGCAGCUCAACCUUCCCAUAUCAUAUCCGUUAACGACUUAGACUUUAGAUCAAGUACUCUUCCCACAAGUUCAGGUUUAGAGCAAAUCUUAACUCAUAACAGUUAUGCCUAAACUUGAGAGAGAUUUCAAUUUUAAGAACUAGUCAUGGCAGAGCAACUAUUCAUCAUUUCCAUGUGAGAGCUUAUCAUGAAGGUUCAUAGCAAACUUUAUUUAUUUAGCAAACUAAGCAAAGAUAUAUAUAAAAGCACAAAAUCUUUAUUUGGGUUUUUAUGAUUAUGCAUCUUUUUAUUAUUUGAGUAAAGUAUAAAUGCGAGUAGAAACACUUAGCUCGAUAAAUGGGGGUGCUCUCCCCCAAGCUGGAUUUUGACGUAAUUUCUUCUGAUGUAGCUAGCAGGUGACGGAGGUAUAUUUGAAUGUCGGCAGCACCCUGACAGCGAUUAGGAUGUCCUCCGUCUGCUAGUCUUCUUUGAUCCUUGAAUUCUAUGGAGCUCAAAUAGACAACAAAGCUUUGUGGAACUGGUUAAGUGUUAGCAUAAAUAUCUAGCCUUUAUCAUGUUGAGCCUCCUCAAUAAAUGUUAUUUAUUUAGCAGGAUCAUGCACUUAUUAUUUUUAUAUUUUUAUUAUAAGAUGAAAACAUAUUUAUUUUAUGCCACCACAGUGAAUGUACCUAUCGGUUUUAUGCCAUGAGCAUACUCACAUGGGGCUUACUAUUUUUAACAUUUUUAUUUUCUUUUCGAGAUGAUAUGAAUCCUGAUUAACUAAGCAAACUAUAAUUGAAUAAUUGAAAGGAAAAGGAUAACUACCAAGUUUACCUCUUGGCAAGGCGUUCGAUGUUUUUAAGUCAUCCGAACGGGACUCUUUGUUUUCUCAGUUGUCCUGGGAUUCGCUGGAUGGCGUAGUCGGUGAUUCCGGUGGCGCCUCCUCUUCGUGUAUAACUAUCUUCUCCCUCCACACGUGACUCGGUGCUACGGUCUCCUCAGAAUAGUUCUGUUCAAGUUGUAUGUCUUCAGAGCUUACCAUUUCUCCUUCAUAGUCUGCCCAUCCGUCCGUGAUGAUUUGCCUCAUGUGAUUUCGGUUGCGUCGCCUUCUUCUUGUCCUGACUUGCUUAGAAUCUUCAACUAUAUAGUUAGAAUCAUUAAAGUAGUUGUGUACCUUCUCAGAGGGGAAGUGCAUGUGGACUUCUCCGGUUCCAAUGUAGAUGAUGGCUUUGAUAGUGUUGAGGAACGGUCUUCCAAGGACGGUAGGUGGAUCAUACUCGUCUUUUCCCAUGUCAAUGACCUGAAAAUCGUCUGGAGCUGAAUGUAUCUUGGUUGUAGGAGCAUGGUUCUAUGCAGGAGCUGAUAAGUGACUGCGGCCAUUAUGUUGUCGUCAGAUCCGGUGUCGUAGAGUGUCUUCUGAAAAGAGUAUCCAUUGAUUGUGCACUCAAUGCUUGGAACACCAGGGUUGUCCUUCUUGAUAAGGAAAGGCGACUUGAGUCGACGAUCUUUGACCUCUUUGAACUGCAGUGACCAUCUUAGCUGACUCGGUCCACAUUUGCUUGUUCCUGUUCCUCCUGUUGGUCUUCUUGCUUCGUGUCGGGAUUGCUCUGAAGUUUGUGUAGUCUUGUUCUUGAAGGAAAGUCUCCUUCUUCCCCUUGAUGUAGAAACUGAUCUUGGCAGCAUUAACAUAGAUGACAGCUCUGGUGUUUAGGAAUGGCCUCCCUAAGAUGAUGGAUGCCCUCUCCUCAGUACCAGUUUCUAUCACCACGAAGUCUGCUAGAGCGUACAAGGUACCAACUCGGACGCAGAGGUUCUUCAAUAUUUCCUUUAGGAAACUGAGUGUCCGAUCUGCAACCCUGGGCAUAAUGUUGACGCUGGAGCCAAAGUCGCAGAGUGCUUCUAGGAAGUCCACCAUGCCGAUGGAGAUCGGGAUGACGGGGCGUCCUGGAUCACCUCUCUGAGUAAUUAGGCCUCUGUUGAUUCCAACCUUAAUUUUGUUGAGGACGGUUGUAGUAAUAGUUGUUAUUGUUGUUGAUGUAGUUCAUGUCCUCAAGCAUCUCAGGGCAGUGAUUGCCUGAGUGUCCAAUAUCUCCAGUGUGUUUGUGCUCGUAGAUCCUGGUUCUUCACUUGGUGGAGUCUGGGAGUUGUAAAACUCCUUCAUAUUAUGCUCAAAGUGUUUCUGCUCAUAGAGACAAGGCAGAGAUCAAGUGCAUGGGCCCUGUUGGUGGAAAAUACCAAUAGAACCAAAAGUGUAUUUGUUCUUCUCUAACCUUAAGCAUAGUGAGCAGGACAAAGUUGAUGGAUCAUGAGUGUAGCAUUUGUCAGAUCAGAUGGCUCAACCUAAUGGAAAGAUAAUCAAUCUAUAUUUAUGUUUUGUUUAUAUCUUCCAAAGAUUGAAUGUGCAACAUAUUAGCUUAUAUGAUUAGGAGUGUGGGAUCACGAAGGUAGUACUAAGAACAAAGAUUAAAGAGCUAAACAUGUUGAAUUAAUUAGGUUGGUUAAUUUAGAGUUAUAAAUCAUACAUGUUUGUCUCUUUAUUUAUGUGAAUGCCAGAACCAGGGAGAAGCUUAUAAAAGCGAUAGUCACGUACCUUAAGAUGUUACCUUACUUGAAGAGUGAUGGUAUAGUAUCACCUUGUGGAAGCUUUCCUUUCUUAGUGGUUGUGCAUCGUGUUUGUGGCACCCUCCAUGGAUCAUCUCUUUAUGAUGAAUGAGCUAUGUCUUCCUCGUGCAAGUUGUUAAAUUUCAUGUGUCUCCUUUAUCUCCAAUGAGCUUGUAGCUCAGGACUUCCCAGGUUAAUAUUGAAAGUUUUCCUGCAGGGGUUAGUCCGACAAAAUAUACCAAUGCCUACUCAAGCAGUUUUUAGUUCAAUAACCAAACUAGACUCCAUGUCUAAUCAGAUUAAGGAAGGCUAUUUAACCUAAGCACCAUGCUUAAUUUAAAUGCCGAUGGAAGUAUGUCGAGUACUUCCAAACCAACACUUACUAGGAUAAACAAAGGUAGCAUGAUGGCAUUUAUAGAGAUCUACUCAAGUGGAGAUGAAAAAUAAGUUUAGUGUUUAGAAAAAUUGAGCAUGCCUCAAAAGUAGGGACAACCAACAUAGCAAUAUGGCAAAGGAUGUUUUUAUGUAAAGUACUCCCCCAAGCUUGAAUUUUGCAAAAUUCAAGACUGGAUGAAUUUAAUUCAAUGUUGCAUGAUGAUUGGUUGGUCAUACCUUGCGCUUGUUAUUCCUCGGAUCUUCUUGCUCCAAUCUUGGAAAGGUUAGUGGCAAGAAUACCCGAAGGAAUAUUUCUACAAUUAUCUUUAUAUGCUCAAUACACAAGGCAAUGUUGUAAAUAAUUAGAAGUUCAUGAUCAGUGCUUGUUUUAGGACACUAAGCUUUGGGAAACCAUCAAUUUAUGUCAGCGACGUGGUUUCCCCUCCAACGCCAACCUAUAUCAAAAUCCAACUCAACGAGAUCUGCAAUAUUUAUUAUAUACAUAUGCAUCGACAACCGCUCUUUUAAAGUUGUUAUAAAUAGAAAGGAAGAGAGGGUUGGAGAUCUCAAAUGUGGUGAUAGCACAUGGAUUUUUAAUGCCCUCUAGCCAUUGAUGUUGCUCUUCUCGAUCCUCCUUGUGGUCUUGGUGACUCUUAUGAAUGGGAUGUCUAGAGAAAUUCAUAGGCUUAUCGGGAGGUUCAAAAGAAAGAGCAUAGUAGAAAUUAUUAGACUCAAGGAUGGGAUGGAUAGCCGAAUCAUGGGAUUGAAAUGUUUGGAAAUUGGCUAUUGAAACUUCCUUUCCUUGUCUGGGAGAUGAUUCCUUCUCUAUCUCUAAGAUUUUUCUAUGAAGACUAGUACAAGAAGGAUGUCCACGAAUGAAGACAUACCUUCCUUUACUGAUAGAUAAAGAAAGAAAGACUCUACCAAAGGGUAUAUGAUUAAGACUAAUGUAAAAAUAUAGAGAAAAAACAUGGUCUUGUUGGGCUAGGUUUAAACUAGAAUUUAUAGAAAAAUUAAAAGAUUCCCUAGGUGUAGCUAAAAGUGCAUUAUCUUCUUGAUUAAAAGAUAGGACCUCAGCUAUAAAAAAGGGUUGGUUUUGACCUAUUGCAAUCAACUCCGGACACAAAUCAUAAUUAGGGGCAGGACUUGUUAACUCCCAUGGUCUAUGGCUGGUCUCCGAAUGUGCAAAGAAUUUAAUAAUAGGUAUGGAAUUUAAGUUAUCCAUAAAGAUAAAAGUAAAAAGAUAAAAGAAUAAAAGUAUAAAAGUAUAAUACAAGAUAAUAGCAAGACUCAAAGUUAUCUUAGCAAACCGUCUUUCUCUCCGGCAACGGCGCCAGAAAUGCUUGUUGAUAUUUGGUAACGCAAUAAGGAAAUGAUCCGCAAGCGCACGGAUAUCGUUGAGCAUUUCACCCGAGAGGUUAUCCAGAGUAUCGUAUUUAUAUUUUUACCACUGGGAGAAAGGGUGCAUCUGACUAACCAAAUCUAUUGAUACUAUCCCUUUAGGCUACAAAGAAUGUUUCUCGAUGUGAGUGAUGUAUAGAGAAGACUGCAACCGUAGUCUCGUUCUAACCUUGGUAAGGAUCAUCUAAUGUUCUAUUGGGGAAGCUUACGGAAUCUAGACACCACAAAGGAUGUUCGACCCGCACCUAUAAACCCUACCCGUCCUGCUAACAAGAUAUGGGAUACAAAGGUAACACGGAAAUGUCACGUUCCUCGCUACUACCACGGUCCAGCUAGUCAGGGGAUAUCUAUGAGUACCCUAGACUAAACACCACGUUUACGCUAGCAAUGAUUACUCUAAUACUCAACCGGAAGAGGACUAAAGUAAACUCAUAAACCAAAGAACAAUAAAACAAGAACUUACUAGAAUUAGAAGUCGAAUUACUGAAGAGUCCUAGGAGCAAGCCUCAGGUUAGAAGACUUGAUCCUGCAGGUACAACUCGGAGUAGACACCGACAGGCCGGCCUUCCUCCGAUCUACACCUCCACUCUAUCUCUCUCAAUCUAGUAGAAACUAGAAGAUCUAUUUCUACUCACAUUGGUUGCUAAGCCUAAAAAGAAAUAUUAUUUAGAGAAGAGGUUUUCCUUCGAGGGCACCCCUCAACUCUAUGAUAACUUCUUGUCUUCUCCAGUGGCCAAGGGGGUCUCCAUAUAUAGUCCUCCUCCUCCAUGCAUUUUUGGGUCGGUAGGCUGUUGACACUUGCUAACACCACUUGAAUACUAGGUUGUCAUCCCCAGCAUGGCACUAGAGUGUACUAUGGUAUUUAUACGCACACAGAUAAUCCGCAAGCGCACGGAUACCGUUGAAGCUUUUACCCGGUUAAAGGUUUUAUCGUAUCCACAGGGAAACGGGAGAACUGAUCUACGCUCUAACUUAACUAAGAUAAGUAAAUAGGUGUGAAUAGGAAAGAUGGUAGAAUCGAAUAAGAACAAUAUUAAAGGUAAGAUAACAGUGAGUGAUAAUAUGGGAAUAGAGAGUAGAGCAAUUCUAGUAUAUGGGCGAUGGUAGCCGAAUAGAGAGGAUAACUAUGGUUUCUCUACUUCAAAAGGGUAUGUCUAUGUCUGGGACGAACCACGUGAUAAGAGUACACCACAAAGGAUGCUUAUCCAUAGGCCGAUAAACCCUACCCGUCCUGCUAACGAGAGGUGGACUAUAGGGGACCAACGUAACUGUCACCUACGCGGCCUACCACACGAUCCAGCUAGUCAGGGGAUAUCCACAAGUAAUCUAGGUCUAAGCACCACGCUUACACCUAUACUACAACUCUAACCUAUAGGGUCCUAUAGAUUAGAAGUACUCAAACGAGUUGUGAACCAGAACAUACAUGAUUAGUAAUUGCAUAAUGAAUUAGAAGUUGAUUACCAGAGUCAUCCCAUGAGCAAGCUUGAUUAGAGCUUGAUCAUGGCGAAGUACAACCGGAGGAAGAACCGACAGGCCGGCCUCUCCUCUAAUCCUCCUUCGCUCUCCAUCUCGCUACUAUCUAGAUCUACUCUAGUUUAGAGAAGAGAGGAGAGCUCUCAUCUCUAAACCCUAGCUUUUACUUUGUCUAUGAAUAAUGAAUAAUGAUCAAGGGGUUGUCUCCUCCAGGGGCCAGGGGGUCUGGUUUUAUAGUCCCCUCAAGGGAACCUGGGCCGUCGGAUCAAACCGACAUUGAUUGAAUGGUUAUUCUUGAUCCUUUAGGUUGGUGGAGCAUAAUCCGCGAGAUUGAGCAUGAUUGGCCACAGGAGGUGGGCGGGCGCCCAGUAGGACAGGGCGGGCGCCCUGUCUCUGGCCCCGUUUCGCCUCCGCUUCGGUCUCGUGGCUUCUGGAGUCUUCUAGAUGUAAGAUAAUUGCGCGGCACGUUGAUAUCUGUAUGUAAUCCCGACGUGUGGGCCUUUCUUCCUUAUUUCCUGAUAACCCCCUGCAGAAAUAGACAAACACCAAAACUCGUGGAAUUCUGUCAGAUAAAACCCUAAGUCUCGAUGUUGAUUUCAUUUGGAUCCUUUUCUUUGUUUAUUUGAUAGUUAAAUUUGAUACUUAAGGACCGUCAACAAACUCCCCCAAGCUUACCUCUUGCUCGUCCCUAAGCAAGGAUAGAAUCAGCUAGUGGAUCAUAAGUUGUUGCAAUAUCUUUAAAAAUUGACGGUACACAUGCUUUUAAAUGAGGUCUCAUCUCUGAGUUAGAGUAAACUGUCAAGACUUAAAACUUACUUACUUUAUCUUUCACCAUGGGACUUGUAACCGUCACUUCUGUCUUGAGUAGUUAAAAGAUAGAACAGUCUAGCCAAGUGCCAUGUCUCUUAUUCUUGAUCAGCUAUAGCUCUGGAGUUUUUGCAGAUUUUCAAAUAAAACCCAGAGAUUCCUUGUAUGACUCUCUCAUAUCUCUCUUUUGUGGUAUUUGUGGAUCCUUACCAAGGCAGUGAUGGUAUAUGCCUUCUCUCAAAAUAUGUGGUAUUUGUGGUAUAAGGCAUAGUGACAUUGCCUUCUCUCUCACCCUACUCUAAUAAGUCUUUAAUAUCUGGAGCUCAUAGGUGGGAGAUAAAGUAUACAUACUUACAAGACAUGUAUUGCAUAGUCAAACCAUGGAUCCAAAGAAACAAGUCAAUAAGCCAAAUCAAGAUGUGCAUGUGUGGCGAAUGAAUGGUGUAUGGUGAUGAUGGUGAUAACAAUGGUGGAAACAAUGGUGGUGGAAGUCUAAUUCUACUUUUGCUCUUUUGAGGGGAUACAUACCUUUCUUGCUCUUGAAACUUUAUGAGGAGAAUGAGAUGCUCUUCUUUUUCUUUUCUUUUCUCUCAGGUGGGUAUCCUGUACCCCUAAUUCUACUGUCGGACACUUGUCCAUUUUUACCUCUCGUCUCACUCUUUUUCUUUUCUUUCGAGGUUCCAGGCACUUGCCCCUUUUUAUUUCCUCGUUUAUUUUUUUUUUCUUUUCUUUUUUUUCCUUUUUUUUAGAGCACUCAUCUCUUGAGAUAAUAUAGCAAGUGGUAGUAGCAAGAUAACUUGAGCAUUUAUUUCACAAAGGAAAAACACAGAUGUUUUUGGCUAUUCUCUCCCGAAUUAGGAGUAGAAUAUUUUUAGGUGAUUCUGGAGAUGGAAAUGGAUGGAUAUAUGUGGAUGGUACUUCCGGAGUAGAAAUAGCAUAUAUAUGAGUGAACGUGCAAGUGAAUCUUGAUUUAACCACAUGACAAGCUCCUAAGGGUCUACACAGCUUGACCACACUCAAUGCUCAUAAGCAGUAAAUAAUAAAUGUGUGGCUCAAAGUCUAGCAAGCAUGUAUAUAUGGCUGUGGUAGGAAUUUAAACUCUCAUCAUACAGGAACUCAUCAUGCAACAUUUUAAAGAUUUUCAAAGAUAAAAUUCUCCAGAAUUCUAGCAUCUCUAGGAACAGAUAAACAGCAGCUCAACCUUCCCAUAUCUUAUCCGUUAACAACUUAUAUUUCAGAUCAAGUUUUCAUCCCACAAGUUUAGAUCUAGAGCAAGCUUUAAAUUAUAACAGUUAUGUCUAAACUUGAGAGAGAACUUUAAAUUUGCAAAUUAGGCAGAGCAACUAUUCAUUAUAUCCAUGCUAGAGUUUUAUUAUUAAGAUUCAUAGCAAACUUUAUUUAUUUAUUUAUUUAUUUAGCAAACUAAGAAAAGGUAUAUAUAUAUAUAAGCAUAAAAUCUUUAUUUGGUUUUUCAUAGUUUAUGUAUUUUAAUAUUCUAAUAUAAUAUAAGUAUAAAGAUAGGUAGAAAUAUUUAGCGAGAUAAAUAGGGGUGCUCUCCCCCAAGCUGAAUUUUGACGUAAUUUCUCUUGAUGUAGCUAGCAGGUGGCAGAGGUGUAUUUGAAAGUCAGCAGCAUUCUGACAGCGAUUAGAAUGUCCUCCGUCUGCUAGUCUUCUUGAUUCUUAAAUUCUGUGGAGCUCAAAUAGACAACGAAGCUUGUGGAACUAAUUAAGUGUUAGCAUAAAUAUCUAUCCUUCAUCAUGUUGAGCUUCCUCAAUAAAUAUUACUCUCUGUUUUUAUAUUUUUAUUUUAUAAACAAAAAAGAAAUAUUUAUUUUAUUUUUAUGCCACCACAGUGAAGGUACUUAUGGGUUUUAUGCCACUCGUAUACUCACAUGGGGCUUAGUAUUUUUUAAUAUUUUUAUUUCCUUUUCAAGAUAGCAUGAUUAACUAAUAAUCUAUUUAAGGAAAGUAAAUAAUUAAAGGGAAAAGUGAAUGCAGAAAGGAUAAAUAUGGAUAACUACCAAUCUUACCUUUCGGCGAGGGUUCAAUGUUUUAAGUCUUCUUGUCAAGACUUCUCAUCGUGUUCAUUCUUCAGGUGCGUCAUUUGAUUCAGGUGCGGACCUUGACGUCUGCACCUUUUAAUACGGUGUCACCCAUGUUCUUCGUUUGCCCAGCAGUUCGAAGUGCGGUGUUAGCAGUAUCUUGCUCAAUGUGUUUGUGCUCGUAGUGUACCUUGCUUGAAGAGUGAUGAUACAGUAUCAUCUUGUGGAAGCUUUCCUUUCUUAGCGGUUGUGCAUCGUGUUUGUGGCACCCUCCAUGGAUCAUCUCUCUAUGAUGAAUGAGCUAUGUCCUUCUUGUGCAAAUUGUUAAACUUCAUGUGUCACUCUCUUCGUCUCUGAUGUGAGUUUAUCUCAGGACUUCCCAAAUCGAUAUUGAAAGUUUUUCUGCAGGGGUUAGUCCGACAAAAUAUACCAAUAUCUACUCAAGCAGUUUUUUUUAGUUCAAUAACCAAACUAGACUCCAUGUCUAAUCAGAUUAAGGAAGGCUAUUUAACCUAAGCACCAUGCUUAAUUUAAAUGCCAAUGGAAGUAUGGCGAGUACUUCCCAACCAACACUUGCUAGUAAAUAGACAAAGGUAGCAUGACAACAUUUAUAGAGAUCUACUCA
This 17243-nucleotide long non-coding RNA is filed under the name Sorghum bicolor (sorghum). RNAcentral's name for it is "long non-coding RNA (SBIC_LNC000876)". Lineage: Eukaryota; Viridiplantae; Streptophyta; Magnoliopsida; Poales; Poaceae. The record is from RNAcentral.